UAGGGAAUCUUCCACAAUGGACGCAAGUCUGAUGGAGCAACGCCGCGUGAGUGAAGAAGGUUUUCGGAUCGUAAAGCUCUGUUGUUGGUGAAGAGGGAUAGAGGCAGUAACUGGCCUUUAUUUGACGGUAAUCAACCAGAAAGUCACGGCUAACUACGUGCCAGCAGCCGCGGUAAUACGUAGGUGGCAAGCGUUGUCCGGAUUUAUUGGGCGUAAAGCGAGCGCAGGCGGAAGAAUAAGUCUGAUGUGAAAGCCCUCGGCUUAACCGAGGAACUGCAUCGGAAACUGUUUUCUUGAGUGCAGAAGAGGAGAGUGGAACUCCAUGUGUAGCGGUGGAAUGCGUAGAUAUAUGGAAGAACACCAGUGGCGAAGGCGACUCUCUGGUCUGCAACUGACGCUGAGGCUCGAAAGCAUGGGUAGCGAACAGGAUUAGAUACCCUGGUAGUCCAUGCCGUAAACGAUGAGUGCUAAGUGUUGGGAGGUUUCCGCCUCUCAGUGCUGCAGCUAACGCAUUAAGCACUCCGCCUGGGGGAGUACGACCGCAAGGUUGAAACUCUAAA
This 560-nucleotide ribosomal RNA is filed under the name uncultured bacterium. RNAcentral describes it as "partial 16S ribosomal RNA". It matches the Rfam family "Bacterial small subunit ribosomal RNA", at positions 355 to 906 of the family's 1533-position model. The record is from RNAcentral.